AAUCAACGCUGGCGGCGUGCCUCAGACAUGCAAGUCGAACGCUGCUGAUUGCCCUUCGGGGCGGUCAGCGGAGUGGCGCACGGGUGAGUAACACGUAGGUAAUCUACCUUUGGGUGGGGAAUAACAGCCGGAAACGGCUGCUAAUACCGCAUAAUGCAGCGGCACCACAUGGUGACAGUUGUUAAAAGCGGGGGAUCGUAAGACCUCGCGCCUGAAGAGGAGCCUGCGGCGGAUUAGCUUGUUGGUGAGGUAAUGGCUCACCAAGGCGACGAUCCGUAGCCGGCCUGAGAGGGCGGUCGGCCACACUGACACUGACAUACGGU
Molecule: ribosomal RNA, 323 nt
Filed under: uncultured bacterium
Lineage: Bacteria
Description: bacterial SSU rRNA
Rfam family: Bacterial small subunit ribosomal RNA
Source: RNAcentral